AUGGUCAUAGACACGAAACAGUCACUUUCUUCCUUGUAUCGGUAUUUUAAUGUUCCUAAAGAGUUUUCUGCCCAAUUGUCAUCAAUGAAGUUGCCGCACCUUAAUUCUGAAAAUUUACCAGGCUGGACAGCUCUUGCUUUGAGUCGUAAAUAUGCGAAGAAGCUUGCAGGUGCUAAUGUAGAAGAUGCAGCUUUUGUCAGGCAGUGGGUUGAGUACGCUGUCACCCAGGGAGUGCAUGCUGAUGAUUCAAGUAGUUCCAGUCAAGUCUUGAAGGAAGUAAAUAAAGCUUUAGCAGACCAAUCAUACAUCGCAGCCAAUUAUUUGACAGUAGCAGACCUAUUUUUGUUCUACGUUUUACAUUCUAUUGUGGUGAGUAGUUCUUUUAUUUCUGUCCUAUGUAAAUAUCAAAAAUUGACCCAUCCAGUGAAUAAAAAAUCAUGUUGUUCAAGUUCCUCAACAUGUUGGCCUAGUCCGUUCAUAUGCAUCCUUUUUUUUUCUCAAGUCCUUUUUGAAAACAAGCCACAAUUCCAUAUGUACGAAACCUGGAAUAAAAAAAGAGAGAUCUUAUUGAUUGGAGGAGGAAUACUCACUUUUUGUUCAAUGCAAUCCAUUGGAGGAAAGAGAAGAAAAACUACCUCUUUCGAGGGACUUUUAAGAUUUUGAAUUUAGAGGUCCUUCUCUUAAUCCUCUCUUUUUAUCAAGCUGAGAUUCUCUGUUCUUGCCGAAUUCUCCUCAACUAAGAUUCUUGCCAGCAAAGCAGUGCUUUGCCCAAAAGAUAUGAAAGGCUGGGGAAAGUAAAAAUAUUAGUCUUUCGUAAGUCUUAGUGAAGAUCGUAUAAGUUGUCAAGCUUGUACGCUGUAAACUUGACGAAAGUAAAAUUUUAAAUGAAAUGAAUAGUGGAGGUAUUUGAGGACCUUUCCAACUAAACAGCAUGUGCCCAUGUCAACGUCCCUAAGAUCGUGCAACUCCUCCUUUUUUUACAACCAUCCGAAAUCACCCACAUUGUACAUUUCUCUGCCAAAAUAUUCAGAACAAUAGAAAGAUAAUUUGAGACAAAUUUCAGAACAGAGCUUACAGAUCUCCCCUGACUGAACAGUUGAACGUAUGCACAAUCUUAGCAAUAUUGACAUGGGUAUAUAAUGUUUGAUCGGGAAGGUCUUCACAUGUAUGUAGAAAAAAAGUAACAAGAGAACUUACUAUAGCCGAUCCUACAGCAAAAAUGAGCAUUAGAGGUCUCAUUGGGCACAUCAUUUUUUCAAAUUUACAGAUUAUCGAAAAAUAGCACAGUAAGUUCAGAACAAAGAGAUAAGCAAAAUAAUUUGAGCAAACAAACUUAUUUUGCUAAAACUGAAAAAAACUUGACAAAACUUAAUUGCAUCACUUGUCAUUUUCUGUUGAAUCAUCUAUUUAAAUAUCCAAUUGUCUAUUCUAUUUAAUCGUUCUCUGGAUAUGAGAGAUUAUUUUCUGAUAAAACGGUUACGUAAUGGGUCAUGAAAAAGUCAAAGAAUGAGAGCCACCAGUAGUUUUAAAGAAAACAAGAAUCAACUGUUUUUGUCAUCUUGUGAUAAAUUGAUAAUUUCAAGCAGGAACUGUCAACCCUAUUCUCCAUUACAUAUUCAUCUCAAAAUCUACUGCUGAUGUUCUCACUUUUGAAGAAUGACUCCUGGCCAAAUAUGUGCUCUGCACGAUCUGUGAAGCGUGAGAUCAAGCGUUUUUUCUGCUUUGCUAAGGAAACACGCAUGAACGUUCGUGAACUGCCAAAUUUCUCCAGAUAAAGGGUGUAUUUUUAGGAGAAGUUUGAAAAUUUUUCCUUGAAAUUUUCAGAUUUUUUAGAUGAAAUUUUGAAAAAAUUAUCUGAAAAGUUUGACGAAAAAUAUCUACAAUUUUCCCAGAAAAUUCGUUUUCUAUUGAAGUAAAUAUUGCAAUGUCUGAAGCGGCGUCUUAUACGGCGUUUUUCCUUAGCACGGCAGUCCUGCUAACAUGGUGUGUCCCACUAUAAACAAUUCUCUCACGAUUAGACUCGGUAAUCUUGUAUCUAUUUGUGGCGAAAUACCCCUCAUUUUUGGUUGAUCUAUCGAGUUAGCUAAUUAACGCGGGCUGCCAGCUUUUUUGAGCUCUGGGGUUAUUACUUUCCCAACAUUACCACACCUACUUUCACCUCCUCUGAAUCACUUGUUGUCUACUUUCCAGGCGUCAAUGACUUUUUACGAGAAGGAAAAAUAUAUUAAUUAUCUCGAUGGUUCGAUCAUCUACAGCUGGAGCCGAACAUUCGACAAACAAGGCCUCUAGUCACAUUUAGCCGAACUCUUUUAUACUCUUAAGAUCAGGUAAUGAUGCUGUAUUUCUAUGCAAUAAAUCUUCAUUUUAAAAAAGAGAUAAAAUUUUGCAUACUCACUUGCACUAUUUAAUAAUUUAAUAAUGGGACGCGUUUCGGGGUCAAGAUGGCCCCAUCAUCAGCUUACAGGGAACUUUAAAUGUUCGCUGCCAACUGAUAAUGGGGCCAUCUCGACCAGGAAACGCGCCCCUUUAAAUUGUUAAAUAGCGCAAGUGAGUAAGCAAAAUUUUAUCUCUUUAUUACAAUAUUGUCUUGUGACUGUCCCCUACAAAAGUUUCCAAAUAAUCUUCAUGUCAUGCACACUGACUGCAUACUGCACCAAUGAUAGAUCAGAUCUUCGUACUCUACUAAGAAUAUUCAUGAAAUUUUCCUUCUCGUGGUUUUUCAAAUUAACUUAUCUUCAUUAUCCGGUAUUUUACUUAUUGCCAAUAAAUAUAAGGCUGGAAAAGUGAGUAAACUUACUUUGAAAAAACCUCAAGAUUUAACACCAAUUCAAUGUGGAUCACUUUACUGAAAAUUGUAUCUCUGUGUACUUAGAUCCCUUUAACCGACGAUGGUUACAUUUAAUUGAACUUUAUUUUGCAAUUAGGAACUACAUUACCUGACGCCUCUGUAAAAGCACCUAUCUGCAUAUAGACACUAUAGGCAUACACGUUGUUUCUGAAGUGAGCUGGAAAUGGUAGUUUCUAAAUGCAAAAUGUAGUAAAAUUCUUUAGCUAUAAUUUAAGGGUAUUAAUUUGUUUUUCAUCUCAUUAAUAAUUGUCUUUUUUUCAUGGUUCAGAUUCUCUGCGAAACUCUACGAGGUAAUGUCAUGAAUUCCACGCAGUGCGCUGUCAAAUCAAUUUUCUUCUGGAAUCCCUCUCAAACAUAAUAGGAGCCACCAUCAUGAGAUUUUCUUCCUUUGUGUAAAGUAAUUUUACUGGGUGUUCCCUUCAAAUCAUUUUUAAGGAUUUGAUUUUUUCAUUUUAUUUAUUUAUAUGUAUAUAUUCAUUUUUUAGUGUAAAAAUAAAUCUUUUCUUUAAUAUCUUGUCGCAGAUUUGUGG
This 3378-nucleotide long non-coding RNA is filed under the name Bemisia tabaci. RNAcentral's name for it is "lncRNA ENSSSA3NGG012148". Lineage: Eukaryota; Metazoa; Arthropoda; Insecta; Hemiptera; Aleyrodidae. The record is from RNAcentral.